UUGGAUUCUCCUCCUCCGGCGUGAGAGUGAUUACAGCAUUAUUGGCCUCCCGAAGAAGUUUCCUAUGGGAAAAGAAUAUCUGACGCUGCCUCCAUAACCUGAUCACCGAUAGUCUGCAGGCUGGCACUGUCUUACACAUUAGCCAUCAGGUCCUGGCCCCUUAUGGCGAACCAGAUCGAACACCACCCAUUUCACCUCUUCUACAGUAACUGGCGGGGUGGAGAGAAGAUCAAUAUGCUCAAUAGAUGAAGUAGUACCGAUGGUGUCCCGAAGCAUCUGCAUCAAUCGAUGAAGCUUAUGUUAAGAACACUGAGAACAGAAGCUCCUCAUCUGAUGCUAUUACUGAUACCAAGAAGAACAGGGGAAGCAAGAUAUACAAGAGCAAUAAAAAGAAAACAUAUGAAGAAGAGGAAGUAGAGUAUAUACAUGCUGCUAAGAAGAUAUGCUGCUGAGAAGAAUGAGAAGAGAACCUGUUUCGAACACUCUGUAUAGUGCUGCAAGUCUUGGCUAGUCUCGACAAUUAGUCUAGUGUAAUUCAGUUCUGGAAGUUAGUUAGUUUUUGCUUCAGUUAGUUAGUUAUAUUUUCUUCAACUGAUUCAAUACCUGUAAAAACAAAUUUCAGAGAUAGUCCUUGUGUAUAAAAGGCUAACUCUCGAUUGAAUGUUAAUAAUGGAAAGGAAAGAGAAAGAAGUCUUUCAUCUCAAGAUCUCUCUACAGAUUCUUCAUCCCAUUUUUCUUCUCUGCGCAUAAACUUCUUCAUGGUAUCAGAGCAUCUGCAUCUUGAAGAAAUCAUCUUGAUGCUGAACAAAGUAGAGAGAUCUAGACCAGAUCGAAGUUAGAUUCGAAGCUUCUUUGAUCUCUGAAGAUAUCUGUAUCUUCCAACAAGAUCUGUGAGUUGGUAUUUUUCAUCCACAUCUAAAUCUUCAUCAGCAAUAUUCUUGUUGCAGCAUACUGCAAAUCAGUAGAAUUUGUGUCUGCAACUAGAGUUGAUAAGAGAUCAGGAAGAAUAGAAUGGCAGCAAGAAGUUUGAGAUAUCCAUUUCCUAUUCAUGUUAAUAUCUCGAAUUUCGUUACCAUCAAAUUAGCUGAGGAUAAUUUCCUCCUGUGGCAAGCUCAAUUCUAUAGAUUCUUAAGAAGCCAAGAUCUAUUCGGUUUUGUGAAUGGGGAAAUUUCACCACCUGCAAAGACAGUACAAGUUGAAGAAGGAGGUCAAACUUCUUAGAUCCCUAAUCCUGAUUAUCAUGACUGGAUAAAAACAGAUCAGCUUGUAUCUUCUUGGAUUAGUGGUGCAGUAUCAGAGAAUAUACUCAGCCUGAUAAUUGGUUUAAACACUGCUUAUGAAGUUUGGCAAACUCUGUUAAAUCGGUUCACACAAAAAUCAGUAGUUAAGGAGUUCGAGUUAAGAGGAAAACUGCAGGCUUGCCAGAAACGUGAACAAACAUUAUCAGCAUACCUCAGGGAGUACAAGUCAAUAUGUGAUCAAUUGAAUGCCAUAGGAAAACCAGUUGAUGAAAUCACAAAACUAUUUGGAGUUCUGGAAGGCUUGGGAUCUAAGUAUGAAAGUUUCAAAACUACAAUCUAUUGCUUGAAGCCCCAACCAGAAUAUGAUGAAGUAAUCUCACACUUAGAAAGAUUCGAAGCCAGGUUACAGAAUUAUUCUUUAAAUCAGUUCAGUCCUAACCUAGCUUACUAUGGCUAGAGGAAAACUGAAGCUAUACANNNNNNNNNNNNNNNNNNNNNNNNNNNNNNNNNNNNNNNNNNNNNNNNNNNNNNNNNNNNNNNNNNNNNNNNNNNNNNNNNNNNNNNNNNNNNNNNNNNNGGAGGAAGAGAUUAUGGAAGAGGAAGAACAUAUAAUGCCAGAUACAGGAACUUUGGUUAUCUUGGAAGAAACAUGAGUUACAGAAAUAAUAACUCAAACUAUAAACAAGAAAAUCAGCAGUUCAAACAAUUCAAUACCUCCUCUGGCUUGGGUACUGUUCAAGGAUUUAGACCAUACAAUGUAUCGGCACAAAGGUAUUCUGAUACCAAGUCAUAUCCUGCAUCAAAUUCAACUCUUCACAAAAAGGUACAAGUGGAAAAACCAGCAGAACACACUCGACUUGAGUGUCAAAUCUGUAAGAGGCCUGGUCAUGAUGGCUUACAUUGUUGGUAUCGGUUUGAUAACUCCUAUCAAGCUAAGGAGAUACCAACAGCUCUAGCAGCACUACUACAUAUAGAGGAGGCAAAUGAUCAAGAAUGGUAUCCAGACACUGAAGCAACAGCCCAUAUUACCUCUAAUGCUGGUAUACUUCAUAGUCUUUCUAAAAAUAACAAUGCUGAUAUAGUCAUGAUAGGCAAUGAUCUACGUUUAUCUGUCAAAUACAUUGGUAAUGCAAUACUGAAUAUUGCAAUUACUGCCUUGCCUCUCAAAGAUGUGCUGAUUGUUCCUGAGAUUAAGAAAAAUCUUCUAUCAGUGUAAAAAUUCACUGAUGAUUACCCUUGUUCCUUUAUUUUUGACAAAACUGGUGUGUACAUCAAGGACAACACCACCAACACAACCAUGAAGUUAGGAAGGAAGGUUAGAGGGCUGUACAGAGUAGACCCUCAUGCUGCAGAAGUCUAUUUCACACAAAGACAAAGAAUUGUUGCAGAGAGUAUCUGGCAUCAACGACUGGCUCAUACAAAUCAGAAUAUCUUGAAGCAUUUGAGGAAUCAAAAUCUAAUUCAGUAUAACAAAGAACCACAGUAUGUACGUAGAAGUUGCCAAAUAGCUAAGAGUACUGCUCUACCCUUUCCAUUAUCAACUUCUACAGCUACAAAACCUCUAGAACAAAUUCACUGUGAUAUUUGGGGACCUUCUCCAGUUAAAUCUUUUCAGAGUUUCAAGUACUAUGUCAUUUUUGUUGACAAUUUCUCUCGGUUCAGUUGGAUAUACCCAUUAAAGCUGAAGUCAGAUUUCUAUAGUAUUUUUCUCAUGUUUCAAAAGUUAGUAGAAAAUCAGCAUAACUGUAAAAUCAAGACCUUCCAGUGUGAUGGUGGAGGAGAGUUUAUUAGCCAAAGGUUCAGAACUCACCUACAGAACUGUGGCAUUCAACAGCAUAUCUCAUGUCCAUAUACACCUGAGCAGAAUGGGAUACCUGAAAGGAAGCAUCGACAUAUAGUUGAACUUGGUCUGGCUAUGCUAUAUCAUGCAAAAAUUCCAUUAAAAUUUUGGGUAGAUGCAUUUGUAACAGCCAACUAUAUUGUUAACAUUCUUCCUACUCAAAAAUUACAGAUGCAGUCUCCCUUCAGCAAAUUAUAUCAGCAUAAACCAAGAUAUGACCAUCUCAGAACCUUUGGCUGUGCUUGCUAUCUCUGUCUUCGACCAUAUGCACAAAAUAAGCUGGAUCCACGGUCACUAACCUGUGUCUUUCUUGGAUACAGUGAUCACUAUAAGGGAUAUCGAUGCCUUCUCUCUACUACUAGUCAUGUCUACAUUAGUCGGCAUGUAGUGUUUGAUGAAAAAAUUUUCCCAUUCUCUCAUAAAUUAGCAACAGUUUAUCCUUCCUACACACACUUGUAUAAAUUGUGGACAGAAGAAGAGCAGUUCCUAGCUUCCUCAAUUACAAAUCACAUAAAACAUUCAACUUCUCAGUAUACAGAUUGGGAACAAGAAGCCACAGCUAAUCAAACAAAUGGAGUAUUCUUACCUGAAUGCACAGAACAAGCAGUUUCUGUCUCUCUAGCUGAAUUUCCUAUGGAUCAAGUAUCCACCUCUAUUCAGGAUAGUCCACAACAAGUUGAAGUACCUAUUCCCAUAACUGAGACAAUAGAUGAACCAAAUAUGGAACAACAUACUUCAAAUAAUCAGACAGAUUCACAAGGUACAUUACAUACUCACCCUAUGCAGACUAGGUCUAAGUUUGGCAUUAUCAAGACCAAUCCUCGGUAUGCAUGUCUUGCUAUAUAUGAAGUACCUACUGAACCAAAAACAAUCAAAUCAGCCUUAGCACAUAAAGGCUGGUAUAAGGCAAUGACAGAAGAGAUGGAUGCACUUUAUCAGAACAAAACUUGGGAAUUAACUCCUCAAACUAGUCAAAUGAAUGUCAUUGGCUGUAAGUGGGUAUUUAAAACAAAGCUUGCAGCUGAUGGUAGCCUUGAUAGACUUAAGGCUCGACUAGUUUUUAAAGGAUUUCAUCAAAAAGAGGGCAUUGACUUUACAGAAACAUUUAGUCCAGUCAUCAAACAUGCUACAAUUCGUAUAGUUCUAUCUGUAGCCAUGAUGAAACACUGGCCAAUCCAUCAACUAGAUGUCAAAAAUGCAUUUUUACAUGAUACAUUGAAUGAGAUAGUUUACAUGGAGCAGCCUCCUGGUUUUCAAGAUCCCAAGAAACCUCAUCAUAUAUGUCUACUCAGGAAGUCUCUUUAUGGACUUCGACAAGCUCCUCGAGCCUGGUUUGACAAGUUCAACAACUUUCUGCUUGAAUAUGGGUUCUUUUGCAGCUCAACUGACCCAUCCUUGUUCAUCUAUCAUAAUGAUACAGACACUAUACUUCUACUACUAUAUGUUGAUGACAUUAUCCUGACUGGAAGCUCCUCUCAGUUACUUUCCAACCUCAUCCAUUCUCUAAGGGGGUGCAUGAUAAAAAUUAUUUCUGUUCCAGAAAUGAUUUUUCUGUUCCAGACUAAUUUCUGAAACAAAAACUUGUUUGAUAAGGCUACUCAAAUUUUCUAUUUCUGGAAUAGAUUUCUAUUCCAGAAAUAGAAAUGGAGGAGAAAUCAGAAGUUUCUACUUCUGAUUUCUCCCACUAAAAACCCUAAUUUCACUCGGUCCUCCCUCGUACGUCUCUGCCUCCUCCUCCUCCUCCUCCUCCUCCUCCUCCGCCUCUGCUCAUCUCCUCGAGACAUCGUCUCCUCCGCCUCUCCUCAUCUCCUCGAGACAUCGUCUUCUCCAUUGGACACUCGGAUCGUCUCCUCCACUGGACGCUCUCUGCCUCUCCUCUUGCUCAUCCACAUCUACUCGCGAAUCCACCCCCUCGCCGCGACCCACUGUCCCCGCUUAUUGUCCGAGCACCCCUCGGCAACAGAUCUCGCGCCUGCACCCCCGCCGCUCGUUCCCCUGCGACGCUAGAAGCCCUUUGCAACAGAUCUGAGCAUCGACGCCCCAAGCCGCUCUUGCUCUGCUCUGUCUCACCAAAAGCUGCCAUCACCCCGCGACCUCAGCAACGCCGCGCGCCCUCUCCUCAUCCAGCGACGAGCUGCUCGCGAAUCCACCCCUUCGCCUCAUCCAGAAGCCCUCUGCGGCACAUCGGAGCCGCUCGAGUUCGUCCGACGAGGCCCACGACCGUGAAGUGCGCAAAGAAGCAGAACUACCCUUCUCCUCCCUUCUCUGGUUCGUGCCGAUUCCUCUUCUUUUUCUCUCUCUGUUGAGUGCUCUGCUGCAUUGCGCUUUGGUCGCGUCGAGUUUGAGGCGGGAGCGAUGGGCUGAGACGCCGGAUUCGGUGCCGCGAUUCUGGAUGAUCGGGGUUGUUAUCGGGAGAUUUUAGGCGAAGGAGUGCUUCGUUGCUCCUUUUGGAAGCUUUCGAGCUCGUGUGCUGUGAAUCGCGCGCGUGCGGUUCCUUCAUUCUCUCGCUAGCCUUUUGGUUCGAGAUCGUCCACCGCGUCGCCUCCACUUUCGUCGGUAGCUCGUGGACUCUGCGCUCGUGUUUCGUGGUGUUUUGCUGCUUCGGAAGCUGAACCAAAUAAACCUGAAACUUCGUGAAUGAUGAAGAGGUCACUUUAGUGUCGCUCCGUGUUAUUUGGUCUCGUGCAGCGUAUACCGAUGCUCACAAAACUGUGGGAAUGUGAUUGCGUCAGCGUUGUUGUUUUGUUAAAAUGAAUGAAAAUUUUGUGCUUAGUAUCUUAGUUGAUCUCUGCAAUGGUGCUAACGAAUGGAAAGUGUGUCUAAAGAAUUCUUAAUCUCGUUAAUUUGAUUAUCUAAUAGAAAUUGGGAAAAAGAUAUUAGCUCAUUUUAGCCGGUAAGCUUGUAGACCAUGUAUAUUGUUCAGUUUUGUACGCACUAAUUCCGUUUGCUAAAAACUUAUAGGAGAAGGAAGCCCUGGCAAAUGUAAAUUUUUGCGAUCUCUUAAGCCGCAUCUGGAAUAUGGGGAUUUGGCUUGAUGCCAGGAAGUGAAUAGUUUAUUCUUAUUGUUAAUAAUAUAAUUGCUACUGCUAUUAUUCUCAUUAUUUUCAUCAUUGCUAUUCUUUGUAUUAUACUAAAGCUGGAUAGAGUCUUUAGUGAUCUAGCUUUUAAGAGGACUGAAAGAGGUUAUUUAGGAUUCAUAUAGUUUGGUUUUUCUAGCCGUAUAAGUGAUUUUCCUUCAAUUUAAAGGAAGCUUUCGAUCGAAACUGAAGAUGGGGAUUUUGAGAUCUGUAUUAUUAAUUGUUUUCAUUGGUUGAAUGCUGUUUGUAAACCAAUUACCUAUGUAGUCCAAUACUGGGAUUAUUAUAUUUGUACUUGGCCUGAAGUUACAAAUGUGGAUUGGCAAUCAAAUUUUAUUGGAGCUUGUGUUAUCUACUUCCCUCCAUCUAAUUGAUGCUAUGACCUGCUUUUGUUAGUCCACCACAGUUUGCUACUUGGGUUCGAUCUGAUUGUAUAAGCUUUCUUUUUGCCAUAAGCUUUCUUUGUUGUAAUAUUUAAUUCACAUCAAAUUGUGACUGGUCUAUGGAUAUAAUUCUAACCAUCAUAUAAAUGUCAUUGCAGCAGACACUUGAGCCGCUCGAGUUCGUCUGACGAGGCCCAGGACCGCGAAGUGCGCAAAGAAGCAAAACUACCCAUCUCCUCCCUUCUCUGGUUCGUGCUGAUUCCUCUUCUUUUUGCAUGGGUUCGUGUGCUUUUUUGCAUAUGAAUCUUAGGAUUGAAACUGGGUUUGCUGCAUGUGGAUAUGAAUAAGAGAUUGGAGUUGGUUUUGCUGCUCGUGGGUAUGAAUAAGAGAUGGGUAGAUUCGCCUAUCUUUGAAUUUUCUGUCAAAUGCCGUCUCUGUUUCAUUCCUAGUUAUUAUGAACAAAUAGAUGGGGCAUUGAUUGGUGGGAAUGUUUUUUUGCUUGUAAUAUAUGGUUGCUUGUAAAAUUUUAUAUGAGGAUUAUUCUCUUUUUGCUUGAUGUGAUAUCGACAUCAAAGUCUAUGCGCUUGAACUGGUACACCAAUUGAUAUGGCUCAUUUGAUGCUCAAGUAGUUAAGGUUAAAUGGCUUCCCACAAAGAGGUUUGUAUGGCAAAGUGGAUUGAGCCUUUGACCAAUGAGCUUGUAAGUUUGUUGGUAACAGAGGUAAUAAAGGGAAAUCUCACCACUUCUACCUUCAACAAAACAGGAUGGAUUAACAUACAUGCCGAAUUCAAUAGAUGGAUGGGACUCAACUUUAGUAUAAUUCAGUUGAAAAACAGGGUCAACAAACUGAAGAAACAAUAUAGUAGUUUUAAGAAACUUUUGUCACAAUCUGGAUUUGGAUGGGAUAAUAUAAACAAUAAGGUUGAUGUGGAUGAUCAAAGUGUGUGGGAGUCUCACAUCAAGGUAUCAAUUUACCAAUGUCAUUUUGUUCAUAUUGUAUUGCAAGCUUUGAUUAUAUUGCCAACAUCUGUCAUUAUUGUAUAAAUUACAGAAUAAUAGCGAAUGGGCUAAAUUCAGAAAUGAUGGGUUUCCUCAGUAUCUUGAUUUGUGUAUCGUGUUUGGUGAUACAUAUGCUAUUGGGAACUAUGCAUCAGGAAAUGCAGAAGAAGUGGUAGUGUCCUCUGAGAGAGAUGACAAUGGUGGUGACAAUGGUGAUGGUGGUAGUGGUUAUGCAGUAGGUGAUCCAGAGGAAUUUGAUGAAUAGCGUAUUGAUGAGGAGGCCUUCAUUCCUGAUACGACUACUACCUCCAAUCUUAAGAAACACAAGCAGGAUAUGACUCCAAAUUCUAAGAGGAGGAGGAAGAGUACCAGAUAUGAUGUUAGUGACACCUGCAAAGCCAUUCAAGAAAUGAUUAAAAUCAGGACGGCUCAAUCAACAAGUGGCUCUGUGACCUCAGAUGCCCCAUCAACUGUAGACCCCUACUCCACAGCAGCCGUGGUUGCCGUCUUAAAUAGUAUGCCUAAUUUAGAGCAGAAUAUUUACAACAAAGCUAUGAACCAAUCAUGUCUUAAUGCCAGUUGGAGAGUGGCUUUUAUCAUAAUGCUACCUGAAAGGAGACGUGGAUUUCUUGAAUCUCUUUAAACAGAUGUUGAGUAGUAUGCUAUGGAUUUAUAUAUUUUGUUUAAUUUCACUCUAUGACUUAUGUAUUUGAGAUACUUAGGUCUUUUUAUGAUGCAAUUAUGAAAACUUUGUGGCUAUUGUUGAUUAUUAUUAGAUUCCUUACUUAUAUAUUGUGUUUAUAUAUAUAUAUAUAUAUAUAUAUAUAUAUAUAUAUAUAUUUAUUUUUUAUUUUUUUCAUGUGAAGGCAUAGGUAAUAUGAAGGGGGAUGAAAGUAGCAUGUGUAGUGAUCAAGUAGCAACAGGUGAAUCGGUUGAACCAAUCUUUGAUGAUUUUGAUAUUGAUAUUAUGAUAGCAUGGUUAAGCAUGGUUGCGGUGGAUAUGUCUUUGCAUUCGAGAGAACCUAUUAGGGAUAGCAUAUUGUCAGGACCCGAAUGGAUGAUGGAGGUUCUUCAAGGACAUUCAGAUAGAAUAUAUGAAUCUUUUAGAAUGGAGAGACACGUUUUUCUUAAUCUUUGUGAUUUGAUGAAAGCAAGAAGUUGGUUGAAAGAUAAUUGAUAUAUAAAGGUAGAUGAACAAAUUGGGAUAUUCUUAUUUAUGAUUUGUCACAAGAACUCGAAUAGAACUUUAUGCGAGAGAUUCCAACGUUCGAGACAAACUAUUAGCAAAUACUUCACUAUAGUGUUGCAAGCAGUUCUCAAACUUGCAAAAGAGAUUAUCGUACCGCCUUCCUUUGAUGUGGUCCCAAAUGAGAUUCUUAUGGAUCCCAACCAUAAACUUUAUUUCAAGGUAAGAUUUUCAUACAUUCAUUUACAAUAUCGGUUUCAUUUUGUUGCUAAUCUUAUAUAACACUAGUCUUUGAUAAAACGAUGGGAUUGUGUGGGCACUAUUGAUGGUACUCAUGUUCAUGCUUCUAUACCUUUGUCGAAGCAAAUUUCAUUUAGAGGCAGAAAAGGAGGUACCACUCAAAAUGUAAUGUGUGUAUGUUCGUUUGAUGUGAAAUUCACUUUUGUGUAUACUAGUUGGGAAUGAUCUGCCAACGAUUGUCGGGUGUUAUCAGCAGCACUUGAGACUCAUCGAUUGGAAUUUCCUCGACCUCCACUAGGUAUUUUUACUUGUUUUAGAAUUAUCAAUUUUCUUUAAGAUUGUAUUGUAUUUACAAAUCACUACUAAUAUAUGAAUAUUUUGUUAUAGGCAAAUACGAUGUUGUAGAUUCUGGUUAUACAUCAAUUACGGGAUUCUUAACUCCUUUUAGACGCGAACGGUAUCAUCUAAAUGAGUAUAGGGGUAGAGCAAGACGAUCAAGAACAGCAAGAGAGUUGUUCAAGUAGAGGCAUUCUUCACUAAGGAAUGUCAUUGAGAGAUCAUUUGCGGCAUUAAAGAAUCGCUUCUUUAUUUUGAAACACAUGCCUGCAUUUGCAAUUCGAAAGCAAGCACAUGUUGUAAUUGCAUGUUGUGCUAUCCAUAACUACAUCCGUGAUCAAGACGGGAGGGAUAAAAACUUUUCCUUAUAUGGAGAUCCAGAGUACUCAUGUGAAUCUGUACAAGAUGAGGUUGUAGGUGAUACAUCGACAGGUGAUACAUCGACCAAGGAGAAAAUUGAGAUGAAUAUGCUUAGAAAAAAUAUUGCCAAUAAGAUGGCAAGGGAUCAUAAUAUGCCGGAGAUUCCAUGAAAUCGUGUUUUUAAUUUUUGUAAUGUAUUUCUAUUAUUUUGUAUUUGGGGAUUUACAAUCUUUGCUUUUGUAUUGUGAUAAUGUAUUUGAUGAUUUCUAUCUCAAUUCUUGUAAUGUGAUGUUCUACUUGAUGAUUUCCCUUAUUUGUAAUAGUCCUUGUUACACUUCGUAAAAUUCGCCGAUUUUGUAAAAUUUGCCGCAAAUUACCCAAUACACUUCUUUGUGUUUCUUUCUAAAACGAUUGCUCGAUAUCGUAAACCGUGGCAGCGAUCAACGUGACACACUAGCAUGAAGGGGAUUAGAAUAUGGUUGCCCGCCUUCAUUCUACUAGAAUUUUGGGAACCUUCUAUCAUGCUCAAGAGUAAUGCAUAUUGAUCUCUUUUUUCUAUUGUAUGAAGACUAUUGAUAAGUAUAUUGUUUGACCGUAAUUACCUAUCUACGUGGAUGCUAAAAAAUUUUGUGUGAAAAUUUACAAAAUUUGAUAUAACAUAUCUUACUUUGUAUUUUUUUUUUUUUUUGCAAAAAAGAGAGACUUUACUAUAAAAAAAAAAGUCAUACUUUGUAUUUGGGUCAAUGGUUUCAUAAGCAUAUGAAAUUUGUAAGAAUGUACAUCUCAUUUGCUCCAAAAAAAGAAAAAUUUGUUUUAAGAAAUAUAAAUUUUAUUCAGUUAUCAAACGAAUUUCUAUUUCUGAAACAGAAAUUUUGUAUCAUUAUUAAACAGAUUUUUUUCCUCAGAAACUCGUCCAGAAAUAGAAAUAGAAAAAUUCAUUUCUGUUCCAGAAACUAUUUCUCGCCCUCUACACUACUUUCUUGGCAUUGAAGCCAAAAAUACUUCCGAUCACCUAUUUCUUUGCCAGACUAAAUAUGCCAAAGAUCUUCUUACUCGAGCUCAUAUGCUUGAGUGCAAACCAAUUACUACUCCUAUAUCACUAAAACCAAUUGUUCUGAUAAAUGACUCUGCUCCACUCUCCAAUCUUGCAGAAUAUCGAAGCUUAGUGGGUGGUCUUCAGUAUCUGACUUUAACAAGACCUGACAUUGCAUAUGCCACAAAUCAGCUGUGUCAGAAAUUACAAAAACCCAUUGUUGCAGACUUACAUAAACUCAAGAGAGUUUUAAGAUAUGUCAAAGGCACUAUAAGUCUUGGAGUCUUUAUUCACUCUCGCAGCUCUCUCCAUCUGUAUGGGUUCUCAGAUGCAGAUUGGGCAGGAUGUGUUGAAACAAGAAGAUCAACAACAGGGUUUUGUACAUACCUUGGCUCCAAUCUCAUAUCUUGGGCAGCAAAGAAACAAUCCACAGUCAGUCGAUCCUCUACAGAAGCUGAGUAUCGUGCUCUUGCUUCUACAUCUGCUGAACUUACUUGGAUCAGCUUCGUCCUACAGGAUAUAGGAUGCUCAUUGACUCGUCCAACACAACUCUUUUGUGACAAUAAAUCCGCCAUUUCUCUCACUAUUAAUCCUGUCCUACAUGCUCGCACCAAACACAUUGAGAUAGACUUUCAUUUUGUUAGGGAAAAAGUCUCAUCAGGGUCACUACAAGUGAAAUAUGUUCCAAGUAACUAUCAACUUGCUGAUAUAUUCACAAAACCUCUCUCUCGUAUUACACAUUAUCAGCUACGAAUCAAAUUAGGAAUCGGUUUCUUACCCAUUCCCAAUUUGAGGGGGGCUGUUAAGAACAGUGAGAACAGAAGCUCCUCAUCUGAUACUAUUACCGAUACCAGGAAGAAUAGGGGAAGCAAGAUAUACAAGAGCAAUAAAGAGAAAACAUAUGAAGAAGAGGAAGUAGAGUAUAUACAUGCUGCUGAGAAGAUAUGCUGCUGAGAAGAAUGAGAAGAGAACCUAUUUCGAACACUCUAUAUAGUGCUGCAAGUCUUGGCUAGUCUUGACAGUUAGUCUAGUGUAAUUCAGUUCUGGAAGUUAGUUUUUGCUUCAGUUAGUUAGUUAUAUUUUCUUCAACUGAUUCAAUACCUGUAAAAACAGAUUUCAGAGAUAGUCCUUGUGUAUAAAAGGCUAACUCUCGAUUGAAUGUUAAUAAUGAAAAGGAAAGAGAAAGAAGUCUUUCAUCUCAAGAUCUCUCUACAGAUUCUUCAUCCCAAUUUCUUCUUUGCGCAUAAACUUCUUCAAUGGAGCACGGUAAACUGUGCCUAAAAGAAACGCACCACCUCAGAUUUAUUCAGAUCAGGAUCAGUAAUCAUCGUCCUGUCCUCGCAAGUCGGGGAUCGAAUGGUAUUACGGUGCUAUUUGCGCUUAGAGUCCAGAAGGCCAUCAGAAGCAGACCAGGAAGGAUUAACCCCAAGCCGCUCUUCCGGAUGUCGGGCAGCACAAAAUUCCCUGAGCAACACCACGGGGCACCAGGUAAAUCAGCAGCCAGGAAUUCAAUGCGAUCCCCCAAAAGGUGGCGAUCACCAUCCUUAUUUUACCCAUAGACAGAAGCAGCACAGAAGCUAAUGACGUCGGCCACAGUAUGAACAGAUAGAUGAAUCGACUGAGAAACAACCGAAAGCACAAAAACACUGACCCCUUUCGGAUUCUAACACAUCCUCGAUUCGUCCUUACCCCUGUAUCCUAAAACAUCCGUGUUUUGAGUAUAUUACUUGCGCAUCUCCACCCCCACCUAUUUCGAAAACUAGUUUGGUUGACUUUACGUAGAAACCAUGUCUCAUCAUAAUGACGUAGAAAGAGAGACAUUUGGAUGAACAAAUGGCUACUUGGAUCACAUCAACAUGCUUGAGGGUGCUAAAUAUUCACACUUUACUAAGUCUGAUUGUGCACUCAUAAUUUACAUAAUGUCGUAUGACAGACGUUAGAAAAUCAUCAUACGCUGCUUUUGUUAGAUGCACUUCUUACAUGUUUUGAGUUCACAAACUGCAAUACCAUAGAAGCAUAAUUUACACUCGCAUCACUAAUUGAAUCACCGCACACGAUCUUGUCUAUUUUUCACUUAAGGCCUAAGCUAGCUAAAUGGUACAUACGAAAUUUGAAGCUUUAUGAUAUGCUAAUCCUCACCAAAAUUACCUACGACAUAAUUUCCAAAUUUAUCCUUGCCAUAGCCGCGAAACUAACCAUAGUCAUACAUGAACCCCAAAUAUAGCUAACAGGUCAUAAUCUUAUCGGAUGUUAUCAUGUAUUUCCAUGUGCCACAAGCCGGCACAAUACAUAGUGUACUCAUAAGCUUCACAACUUGCCAUCAAAUGAUUAGGUGGGUCUACAGCACUCGGAAAGAGCACAUUUAGAGCUCAUAAUGACACUAGGGUCGAAUAAUAUUAGCAAUAUCAACCAUAGACUUCAAAGCAAGGUCGGAGAGAUGUCCAUGGGAAAGGGAUUGCCGAGCAUGUUGUCCAUGUAGUAAUGAGGGUGAGUGGCAUCCAUAACCACGAAUUGCAUGUCCUCCGAUGGCUUCCAGUGCCUCUUCCUUUGGUUGAUGAACCAGUUGUUGAUUUGCUUCUGAUCUAGUCCAGUUGAUUCUGCUAGAGCUAGUUUCUGUGAUUCCUGUCAUUUCGAAUAAGACCCGAGAAAAAUUUUAACACCCAGUGAUGCAAAAUGAGGUAACUUAGGUGCUCAGAGUCCAGAGUCAAUUGGCAUUGGCAAGCAAAGUAUGCACACAAACCCAGUAUCAGGGUGAGGCAGAACAUGUGAUUCAUGCAUGUCGAGUAAGCAUUACAAUUCUCUGUCAUAUAUCAGCAGGGCAAAAAUUCUGCCAGUGAAAUGAGAUCAUUUAUAACCCAUAACUUAAUGAAUUACACUAAGUGGCAGCGCUAUCUCAAUUAUUCAAGGUGACAGAUUUCUUUGAAUGCAACAUCUCCAGUCUCCAUUUAGGGGCUACAUUCUUUAGUAAAGAAUUUUUCUAAAGAACUAAUUUGUAAAGUACACAGCCAGCGCAAAGAAUUAUUUUUUCACUAGAAAAGACAUCACGUGGGCGGAAAAUAGUAGUUCUGAGCCAUAACCAACCAAUUUAUUAAAGAAGCACAUUUCAUCUCAAGCCAUUCCAUAGAUUAGUUGAUAUGACAACCACUAAGCUUGUUUUAUCAUAUAAUCCAUUUAGAGGGACUUUCUUUCUAUGUGUCAUCAAAAAGAGUGGUGGAGUUUAAGAGUGUAGAUGAAUACUGAUGGGUAAGGCCAUUUGUAGUGUCGACUCCACCAAUCAAGCAAUUGUUGCCGGGCCUCUUUCGGGAGCUUCCCCUUCUUCCUCUUUUUCAUGAACUCCUGCUUGAGGCUACCAAGAUAUCCGCUGUACUUCCGCAAGAGCUGAGUCUUGAGCUCUCUGUCCUCUGCUUGGGGGUCAAUGAAGUUGUUCACAUCAUCUUCUUCGGACGAGCCAUUCCUAUCAAAAGCCUCACUCAAAGCCACUGGCAACAUGAACAAGCACAGUAAGCAUUUUGUGAAGUCUAUGUUGCCAAAAAAAUCAAAUCACAGACAUGCACUGGUAACAGUAGAUUCGUCACUGGAUAACAAAAAUAUAAUAGCACAUUGCACAAGAUCAAGAAUACAUCACAUCACAUUCAGUGGUGUUUAUUGGGUAUUUCUACUAAUUUAUAUACAAGUACCUUGACCUUUGAUAGGAUUUUUCUGGAAGACUAUCUUCUGGGCCAACAUAAUUACUCCAAAUUGGAUAUCAUGGUUUAAAUUCAAAUAAACUUGUCAAGUAAAUUGUCCAAUACGGUUAUUUAGCAACAGAAUGGGAAAAUUUUCUGGAGUUCAAAGUACCAUUUCAUCAUUAGUAAGAAACAAUUCAUAUAGAGGCAAACAUUAAUAACAUCAAAUCGAUUUUUUAUACGCACUUUUAGGAACUGGGAACUUCCAAGCAUUUUAUUUAAUCAUGCAUCAGGUAGCACAAGGUUACAAGAUUGAACUCUGCCACACACUGAGAUAUGAAUAAAGGAUUCUGCUAAAUUAUAGAAAAAGUUCCAUUGCUACCAACCGCUCAAAAAAACCAUGUAAAUCCAAAUAUGCUUAUAAUAUCAAACAAUAGUACAUAAUAAGCCCAAGCAAGUGAUACGAAUGCAUUACAUACAUUCUUUUUAUAAGGAAAUAGGAAGUAAGGUCAAGAAAUACAUAAUGAGUGACUUCUUAAUUUCCUCUCAAAAUAACUACAACACAAGCUAAUUCUUUGACUCGUCAUUAUCUAAAAACAAAUGCUUCAUAGUCCAAUACAAGGCUUCUAACCUAUUCAGUCAGAUAUUUUCCUUUCUAUAUGAUAAUGAGAAAUGCUAUUUCAAUUAUCAUAGAUCACAUGUUCAGUGACUAUGCCACGAGUAAUUAAGGCAUUUCAAACAUUCUGAGCUCCUCUUAGACCAUGUUAUAAUGGGCCGCCAAAAGUUCUAAGUAAUGUCGAGAGAGAGAGAGAGAGAGAGAGUCCUUGACGGUAAGUAAGGCAAUCACUACGCAUGACAAAAAUCCAACAUCAUAUAUAAAUCUUUGCAUGAUUGUCACUCCCAUGAAAUAAGAGCUUGAGACACUACAAUUAACAUUGAGCAAGCAAUUUCCUAGUACAAGGGUUGGCCAAAUUAUUGUUUCACUUACACAUUUUAAUUGUCAAAAAAAAGUUACAUGAUGCAUAUAUCUAUAGCCAGAAAAGUGGAAAUUGAGGCUGUCUCCAUGAAUGCAAGAUCAUGUUGCAGUAAUGAUCAGGAAGGAAAAGCAAAUUACCUAAGUUAUGUUGUUGCCAUCGGACUUGCCUUAUUUACCUUUGGAUAUUUAAUCCGCAGGCUACUGUAUUUUAGGAUUUAAUCUAAAACACCAGUUACUAUAAAGGAAUCAUUCUUCUAUGAAGAGGAUGAAUGCAAUUGAUAAAUCUAAAAGGUAUGUGUCUCCAUCUAAAAACUACAUAAGGAAAUACUUUUUUCCACCGUCGGAAACAAAGUAAAAGUUCAAAAUUGUUUUCAUUAUGCUUAAACCCUUAUCAAGCUCUACUCGAGUGGCUUAGAGACCUACUGAAAUGUCCUUUUUCACUACAUGCAAAAAUUACAAAGUGUCGUGGUUUUAACUUAAAGGUGAAGCAUAAAGCUAUGCUACAACAUGUUUGUUUUGGAGUUGAGCCAAACAAAAAGCUCCUUUUGAGUUUUCCAUCAUAAUGAAAAUAUACCGUAAAGAAUUAUGGAAGAUUUUUUAGGCGAAUUACAUAUAUGUACAUGUAUAUGUAUACUUUUUUAGCAUUUGGGACAUUCUACGUUGAAUAAAAGUUAAUGCUCAAAAGCCAAAGCAAUGCCAAAAACCCAGCAAGAGGGUUGUUAGCAGUGUCGCCUUUAGCUUUCGGUUUUCAGGUAAAAAUUCACGCUUAUAUUUUCUAUUAAUCGCCUCAAAUAUUUAUAUUACUAGCAUCUAAAUCACCUAAAACCUUUUCAUAACAAAUUACGCACCCCCAAGAAGACAAAAUGCACACUCCUUAGGCAAAACAUACAAAAUCUUAUGUGCUAGAUAAUGUCUUUUUGUGGUCGUUAGUGUAGAAAUAACAAAUGAUCGUGUGCCCCUAGGAUUAUGUGUACCAGUUUCGCUAACAUUUUGCAUAUCUAGCAUCACUCUAAUAAAAAUAAUGUCGACCAUGCAGAAAGACCUUGUCAUCAAAUCAAAUCUGUUAUUGUGUAUGCUCAACAAUGUUUCAUAAUUUUAUAAUCAGAUUUCAGACAGAUCUUCGUUUCCAAGGCUCAACCUGCAAAGAUGAGACUUGUGAAAUAAAACCGUAAGUAGCAUAAAACAAGUGGUCAAUGAGGUUGCAAUAUUUGACAGAAACUAAGAGGAAAAACUCCAUGGUACAUACAAACACCGAGAAGACCUUGCAUUAAGAAAAACUAAAAAAUUCAAAUAAAUCUCACUUAUUCUAAAUAAAAGAACUUGAUGAGAUUAGAGACUUGCAUUAAGCACAUUGAAGAGAGUAAACGAGAAGGACACACCAAAGGGCAGGACAAUAACUGAUGAUCCUCUACAAAAUCUCCUAUGCCCGUUGCACUGAAUAUAAACUAAAGUAAGUAAAAUGGAGAAUAUCUUCGUGCCAAAAAUUGCCAUGUCAAUUAACCGCACAAUGAGUGUGUUGGCAAAAAGUGCACAAUCGUCCCGGCACAUGUAAAUUCAUCAACUGAACCGAUUUUGAAACUGAGUGUAAACUUGUAUAUAAACAGAUGGCUCAAAAGAAGAUGCUGAGUUAUAAAUGGACCUCUAGGCUGCCUUGAGGUUCACACACAUGCGCAACAAAGCAUAAGUCAAACCUACAAAAGAUUCUCUUGAGCACAUAAUGGUAGACCACAGAUUAUGAACCAAAAAUAGUGCGUUUUGAAAUUUAUUAAUUGUGCCUGCAACUGAGAGAACCCCUGCUAGUAGAUCAUCCAAAAUUGAGAUGUUGCACCCCAUUAUAAUGUGUAUUGGGAAGCCAUUGGAUGCGAGAUGAACAUAUAGAAGAAUUAUUUGAACAAUCUUUUUUCUACUCAUAUAUACAUAUAUACAUGUGUAUCUACAUAUAUCCAACUAUGAAUGAGAUGCCAUAGGUAUAAUUGAUCAGUUCCUAAGAGCGUGGAGAGAAAAAGUCCACCUUGGACCUUAAAAAAUCAGCAAAAGCUACACAUAUGAAUGCAUUCAAGAGUAGAAUAAAAGGAGGCAAUUUAAAUAGAAUUUGUCAAAGAAAGUGAGUGAGCAUUUACGCUCAACUGAUCCAAACCCUAAAUAUACAGAAACCCUAGAUCAAAUUAACCAUUGCCAACUCAUAUCUACUAACUGCGAUUUCAAUGAGCACGCAUAAGAAAUUUUCUUUUUAGUUCACGUAAGUUAUUCCUAUUGUGCUUUACCCAUCAGAGAACCAAAUAUUAUUUCUAGAAAUUUGACAGUUGACAUGAAAAAUCCCCCGAGUUUUAGCCAUUUUGAAUGAACCACCGAUUUGUAGUUCAUGUAAAACUGGAGGACAAGCAUUUCCAAUUCCCAAGAUAACUAUAAAAGUGCAAUACGAAAGGCCAACACAGAACUACUAAAUAGUCAUUAAUAGUACAUAGGAGAAUGCACGAGAACAAAGAGAAAACCACAUUAUACACACAAAUUCCGAGAAGAGAGAAACGGCAGUAACAGUUGUUGUGCCAUUCUUCUUCAUUCCAUGAAGAGAAACAUCGUACGUUAAUUAAGAAAAAAGCCUAGCACUCGCACAAAAGCAAAGUUAUAUAACCGAGAACGAAAGGCAUGAGAAGCAUAUUAACCCGAAAGCAAAAGCACACUCUAAGAAGAAGAACAAAGAAACCACCAUUUUGAAAACCGAGCUCUUCCUAGUUCCCAUACGCAUCUUCAUAGUUCACACGCAUGGGGGUUAAACAUGAAAACCAAAUAAAAAUGGGGAAAGAAAAAGGACGACUUCCCCAAAUCGAGCUCGUGACUGUUUCCAUGUAAAAGGUCGAGUCAGGAUUAUAUCCCAAACCUUUAAAGGCACUAGUUAGGGUCGCAAAUAAGAUGAUAGAUAAAUUAGUACCAGAAUCAGAAGGAACACCAAGAGUAAGGGCUUUGAAUUGGCACUCGAUCCUCUGGAGGAAGAGCAUGGCCUCUUUGAAGGGUUUGGAGAGUUCUUGCUCGUACUUAGUCAGCAUCUCACAGUAGGCCUCCAUGAACUGGUCAAGAGCUGGGUCUUCACCAAUGCAACCUGUGUUGCUCAUGCCGCUGUUCCCGGCCAUUAUCGCAGCCGAUGCACACGCUUCCUCUAGCUUUGCCACCACGCCAGGCGGAGCUCCCACCUAUAUGUAGGUAAUAAUUUAACGCCAUAGUAUUACAACACUUCUUAUAGAAACUGUCGGGAUCUUCUUGUCGAGAUCGCCCGAAAGGGUCUCCAAAGAAUCCCCUUCGGACUUCAGAGUGUCUCCUUCCAUAUUGCUAAACAACAACCCGCGCAGGUAUGACUAUAUAUUAUACAAGAAAGAGAAGGGAAAAUAAAUUGUUUAUCAGGGAAGUAAUGAACUACGUUCUUCGAGAUAUGACUGCCGUCGGCUUUCACAAAAAAUUUCUUCAAAGGGAAAAAAUGCAAAAGAAACAACAACUCUAACCCUAUCAAGUCGCGGUCGUCCCAGUUUGACUAAAUUAACACCCAUAAAGAAAUAAGAAAAGGAAAAGCCAUGCUUGAGUGUGACAGAAAGAACUCUUUUUUUUCCCCUCCUCGGGUCCUUAUCUUUUCUCUUUAGUUGUUUUUGAGGAGACAAUUAGCUUCUUUUCUCACUGGUAUGAACAUCUGAACAAAGAACGAGCAUAGCCAGAGAGCGGGCGAGAGAAAGUAGGGUUUUUCGCUUUUCUUUCACCUUCUGACAAUUGACAUAAGCUGAGAGAAGGCGGUGGUAGUGAGGAUGAGCCAUGAUCUUGGCCUUGACAUCGUUGUCCAUGAAGAAACAACCUGAGCCUGAGCCUGAACCUGAACCACCCGCGUUGUUGUUGCUAUUGUUGUUGCGGUCGUCAAGAAUCGGAGAAGAACCGCUGCUGCUAUUACGAGCUGUUUGGUCAAGAAAGUACUGGUGGGUGCUUGUGUUUAGGUUUUGAUGAUGGUGAUGGUGAUGAUGAUGAUGUUGAUGAUGGGGAUGGGGAUGGGAUGAUGAGGUGAUGGUGUUGAUGGGCAUCAUCGUCAUCAUCAUUGGGCAUAGCCCAUCACCACCACCACUGUGGUGACCGUUCUCUCCAAAAGCCAUCAAACAGGAAGGCGAAUUAGUGCUGUUUGAACCGCCCUCCAUUCCACAGUGUAUGGCCUAAUGCAAAACCCUUUUCCCUCUGUCUCUCUCUCCCCCUCUAGAGAACGAAAGGGUGAUGAUGAGAUCCUUUAUGUGUGUGAGUUUUAGCUCCUUUAAAAAGACUGAGUGGGAGUGAAACAAACAACACCCAGUUUGGUCUCCCGAGUUUUGUGCUUACACAAAGUUCAGGCCUUUUCACAGAAGAAAGAGAGAAGGGGAAAAAAGCAAAAAUCCAUCAAAUAGUGGCCCUCCUUUCUAGUGGGUCGUCAGAUUGAUACAUGCACUAAUAUCAGCCCUCUCUCUCUCUCUCUCUCUCUCUCUUUCUCUGAGGGCGUAGCCUGCUCAAAAUAUUUUUCUUUCGAGAAUGGGGGAGUGUUCUUUAACCUUUCUUUCACUGCAUCAUCGUCUCUCUCUUCCUCUGUCUGCUCAUUCACAGCAUUAAUCUCUCUCUCGUCUUCCUUUUUCUUUCUCUCUCUAUCUCUGUGUGGGCGGUUUUUGAUUGAGAGAGAGAGAGAGAUGAAAAUGCACGCGUUUUGGGUAAGAGGAAGGAGAGGGAUUACUUAUCUUGAGGGACUUUUUAUUACCUUCCCGAUGAAAACUCUCUCUCUCUUUCUCUCUCUAUGUUUGCCAGUCGAAAAUGGCAGUGUAUCAGUGGCAGUGCAAGAAAAGAGGGAGAGAGGGAGAGAGGGAAUUUUUUUCUUUACGGAAAUUAAUAAAAGCAAAUUACGAGGAGAAAGGAGGGGGAGGGCGGGGGGAGAGAGAGAGGAACGAUCAAAUCGAUGGAAGAGCCAAAGAAGAAACAGGGAUAAACUAUUCAUGGAUGAUGGAGGGGAAAGGUUCCUUGGGCACGAAAGAAUCACACACAAACUCUCUCUCUCUCUCUCUCUCUCUCUCUCUCUGUUUUUUUUUGUGACAGGGGUGUUUCUUCCAUCUGGGGUUUUGAUUUUGCAAUCUGCUGUCCACUCAAUUAAUAUUCUUUCUCACUGCUAAAUGUUGUCUUCUUCCAUCCCCCGAGAUUUGUAUUCUCUUCUUCUUUUCCUUUUAAGAUGGCCUCUUUUCGUGUGAUCUUCUCCUGUGUUGGAGCGGCUGUGUACUUGGAGGGUUUCUUUCUACAUCUAGUAACGUGGUUUUUGGUUAGGAUGCAACCCAUUGUUUUUUAUAGUAUUGACUUUUGAGGGCCCUCGAAAUUUUUUUGAUUCAAUGUGAUAGAUACAGUGAACCGAUUUAUAAUAUAAUGUGUUCUAUAUAUAUAUGGAUGUCCAUUGAUUAUCUUACCAACGGUCUCCUCCUAUGGAAUUUUAGAGGAGUCUUUCCUAAGGCCUCACGGCCAUUUAGAAAUAUACGAGUUCAAUAACGAAUGUUGCUAGACACUGAAACAUUCAGGAAAUUGUUUGCAUAUACAAUCAUGAAAUACCGACGAGUGAAAAUGACUAUCACUUUAUUCGAUUACAUCUAUAUCGAAAAUAAUCAAUUCUAUUGAUGUCUCUUUUACUGAUCUUAAUCAAAACUGAGAACAAUAUUAUGAUGGCUCCUCCAUUUGCACACUUUACAGUUUCUUGUCCAAACUCCAACAUCUUGAAAGCUACCCUACUUUGAGGAAUGAUAUUAGCACGUAGUGUAAGAUUAUCUUGAAAUUGUGAUCUCAGUGGUUUUUUUAUAAUAUAAUUGGUAAUACAUACAUUCUAUUAUCUUAUGUUAGUUUAUUAAAUUUUAUCAUCAAUUUGAUGAAUUGAAUAACACGUGACAGUUAAUAAAUAUAUCAAUUUGAGAUUUUAUUCUCCGUUUGUCACAAGUGUACUAUUUAAUGAUUUUUUUAAUCCAAUUUAACGAAAAUUUAAGGCUUUUAGUAGUUAAAAAUUAGUUUGAAAUAAAUAUGUCACAUAUGUACCAAUUUGUGAUUCUUUGUUGUAAAUAAAUUAAUUUGGGAUAUAUUUGUUAUAAGUAUACUAGUUUUAGAUUUUUCGUGAUAUUAACUCUUUAACUUAUAUAUACGACAUGCUUAAACCACUCGAGACUUAUAGAUUGGAUAAGUCAAUGAGCACCAAACCUAUUUAACUAGUAACUAAGAAAAUGUAAUUAUCCAAUUUAAUAUGUUACCAGACAUAUUAGGAUACAUUUAUAUAAAUUUAUACUUGCACAAGUACAUUUUACAUGUUUAUAUAUGAGUAAAAAUAUCUCAAACGUGCCAUGUUUGGAGAACCUACGCACGAUUCUACGGGAUUAUAGCAUGAAAAUAAGGAUCAUCAACCUAAUUCUAACUGAACGACAAUUAAAUGGAAUCUCAAAUAAGAUAUCUCUGGUCCAUUACAUAACAUUAUGAACAGAGAUACUCCUAUUUUUAAGGGUGUUUUUCCCAAGUGCCUCGAUAACCUAAUCUUGGGAAAGAAAAUUUACGGAGGGAUGGAUGCAAUAACUACAGAAUAGUUGAACAAGAAGAAUCUCAUGAUAAGCGUUGCGUUGACAAGUUCGCAAUGUCUUUUAAAAAAUAACUUUUAUUACUUUCAGUUUCUUUCCAAGCUCCAGAGAUGAAAAUAUGUACUUGAUAUAAUCAUGUGAAAAAACUAAAUAACUCUGUUCCCUGCUUCGUCAUUUAAUAUUAGGCGUUCAAUAUAAAAACAAAAUCAAAUUUCACGUGCUAUCAAAAAAAUAAAAUAAAAAACACAAAACAGAAUUACAAGAAUACUGACACCAUCUUCACCUGAGAUUUGAAAAGAGAUGGAUCACACUCAUUAUUAGUCCUCUCUUCUCGUAGCAUUCCACCUUUGCAAUAAUUUACCAGGGAAAAGGAAAGGGUGGGGUUUCAGCUAAAGGAAAAAGCUGAUAAAGCGAGUGGGACACUCCGAAUGUCUCUUCAAUCUACCUAUUCUUCUACACUCCUUAUAGUUAUAGCCUGUCCUUCCCUUUUCUUCAUUCUUUUUCAUUAUCAAUUCGUCUUCUGUCUCAUGUGAUGAUACAGGUAUAUCAAUAAGUUGGAAAAGCUCUUGAUGCAAGUGCCCCCAAAAAAUGUCAUCCAGCUUGAUAGAAAUUUAUUCUAAAAAAAUUAAGAGAUUGCACGACUUUAAAGUUCCGAUAAUUUCACCGACAGUGUCGCAUGCAAAUCAAACUAAGAAUGACAUAUAAAAAUAAAUAAAAUACUAUGUAGAAUUAUUAUUAACUAGUUCAAAAAGUUUUUAUUGCGUGAUUUAAUAUUUAAAUAUUACGACACUUUCUAUUAAGUUUAGGUUGGGAUUUCAACUAAAGUUAGGAUCUCUAAGUUUGAUGCCCUCCGGAAAUAAAUGAGAAUACUGUUGACUACAUGAAACAUUAAGGCAUUGAUAAAGAGAGACUGUAUGUAUAGAAAAUCCAACCAAAUUUCAUAGGCAAGUGUUGUGGGAUGUUUUAAUAGAACUCGUCUAAUGUUGUUUUUAAGUUUGCAUUGAACCCAUAAUACAAGGAGAAUUACUAGAUCAAUUCUAAACUUAUUAUAUAAAUUCCAAUUUAGUCUUAAAACUUAAUUUUCGUUGGAAAUUGAUGACAUGUCUGUGUGUUACAUAGGAUGAUCGACAAUGACUAACCGUCAAAUUAACGAUUUUCAGUUAAAAUUAGCUAAAGUGAUUAUAUUAGAAUUUCGCAUGAAGGUUUAAGACUAGAUUAGCAAAAUUGGAAAGCUUAAAACUGAAUUUGUAUUUAUACGACGUGUUUAUGAUUGAUUUGAUAGUUUCCCCCUACAAUACAUAUAAGACAACUUACUUUUGCUCAUUGAGUGUAAAUAUCUAAAGCGCUAUUUUGCAAAUUUGAUUGCAAAUAUCUAAAUCGAUCCUGAUGGAUAAUUUGUAAUUGAUCGAAGUAAAAAGAGAAUAAUCCAAAAUAUCAUAGAAAUUGAUCCUGCCUUAUAUCAUGUCAUAAUGGAAAGUCUUUUCACAUUUAGAUCUAAAGAAAGCACAUACAUACAUCAUAAUCUAUAUAGGAUAUGAUUGACUCCUACUAUACCUGAUAUAAUUGACUUUGCCUACAAAAAGUUACAUAGUGGAACACAAAGCAAUAAUUACGCGGUGGAAAUAAGUAUCUUGAUAUAUUUUAAUCUAUUAUCAUUCAAAAUAUCUUUAUGUCUAUCUAUUUGUAUCCAUUAGGAAAGCUCGCUUUUGCACAACAUGGGCAUUAAAGGUGAAUAUUAACCAAUAGAGAAGUGUUAUCUUUUCUACUAUAUAAGAACUCCAAAUUAUUCUUUGGAAACUUCUCAUUUUCAUCAUUAAUGAUCCACUCGCCAUGAAACAACACAUCCCAAUAGGGAAAUCCCAAUUCAAUUGACCUAUCGUUACAAUCAAAUAGAUGGACGAAAACUUUGAGAGAACCAUUUUAAAAUAUCAAUAUAGUGAUAAAUAUUGCAUUUAUCUAAUGUUUCAAGUGAUGAGUAGUAAAAUCAUCUCCACAAGAAUGAGAAAAUAUUCAUACUUACGAAUCAUGCGUGGUAAGUGUUAUGUAAUAAAGAGAAAAAAAAAAAUCUACAAUAAGUAGGAGAAUAGACCGACCGGUGUGAAACGAUAGUACAAAAUUCUAUAAUCUCUCUUUUUAAAUAUUUAAAUAAAAAAAAAUCGAAGAAGAAAAUGCGCCAACUAAGUGUAUCCUCGAGUUCUACAAAUUCUAGCUGAAUUGGCAAUUAGAAAACGUGCCAUAAUACAUUCUGUUUCUUACUCUAGGCUUCCGAUUCCCAAGAGACAAAUAUUAAAACUCUAUUUUGCAUGUAAGGGAAAAUUAUAAAUAGUUUAUGAGCUUUAAUUCAAAAUAUAAUACCAUUAUGGACUUUUAAUUUAUUUAAUGUUGUUAUUGAACUAUUAAUAAGUGUUUGAUGUUAUCGUUCUAUUUGCUCAAAUAACAUAUCAAGUGUUAUUCGAUGACAUGAAUUAUUAUAUGUUAAGUUGGCAUUUUAAAAUGAUGAGUUAACAUGUCUAUCAUUUUAUCAAUUUAAUUUAGUGAAGUAAAAAAAAUAAAAAGAAGAAGAAUAAAUUUCACAUUGACUUGAAUUAUUGUAUCUAAAACUGAAAUAAAUAUCUUACCUAAAUGGCCCGCAUAUAAUAUUUUUUUAUUGUUCACCAUUCAAACUUAAUGUCCAUCAACUUGGAUUAAUAAAAUGAUGGCAUUGAACAUUUUCAUAUAAUUUAUAAGUUAAAUUGAACAUUUACUAAUUUUUGUAAGGAUUAUAUUAAAUAAAUUAAAAUUUCAGAAAUGACAUUGUUUCUAAGACCAAAAUGCAGAAACUAUUUGUCUCGCGUAGCAUAGGAUGGUCAUCGUGCUAGCUUCUGUUCACCAGCUCAUCGGACGAGUAGGUUCUUCUUUAAUGAAAGCUUUGAUUAAAUUAAUGCUGGAACCACACGCACACAAUUAUGUCUCCCAGAAUGGCAUUUGUAUGGACUUUAUGUAAUGACUUUCUUUUUCGCUUUUGCUCCCCAGUCAUUUAUCAUCUUUUUCGAUUUUGCCCACUUUAGUUUUUUUCUUUUUUUUGGGUCAGAAAUUGAAACAUUUAAUUAAGUAAGCAAAGAUGAGAAGCCUUGUAAAUGGGCUUCAUUACAUAAAAGAUCCAACAAAGUUUGUGGAGGGGACAAGAUUCAAUUUAGAGGUAAAUAAUUUUUCUUAUGGGCUUUAGCUAUCCAGUCUGCAAUAAGAUUUGACUCUCUAGAGCAAUGGAUUACCUGGGCAUUUGAGAAGGCCCACAUUUUUUCCUUACACUUGCUGACCAUAGGUUAAAUUUUCCAACUUAACUACUAUGAACUGUUUAUCUCUUUAACCAGUUGAGAACUAUUUGACUAAAAAAUAAGGACUUCAUGUUUUUUAGGGAAGAAAAAGUUGAGGGCUUCCCAUAACGCUAGGGUUUCGGCCCCCUUUAGUUUACUUUUAUUUGAUAAUAUUAUUAUUAUUAUUUUGAGAUGACAAUGCUUUUAUGUCGUGGCUGGGCGACCGAUUUAUAUUUUGUGAAGGUUUCACUUUCACAUGUGUCAAAUCUGCGCACACUAAAUCUUUUUUACUCUGAACAGUGGUGUUGAAAACGUCAAAUCUAGGUAUACACGGUCGAAAGGUAAAACCAUAGCAACAUAUAAAAAUCUUAAUGUGUGCUUAGUAUUAAAGACAAAUUCAAUAAUUAGCCGCCCAUUUUGAUACAAAGAAAUCACAAAUCUACUUUUGAGCAUGACUUUAAAUCUUAUUAUGACGAUUCAUUUUCUUAUAUAGAUUUUUUUUUGAAUUUGUCUAAGAAUUAUCUUUGUCUGCAGUUGAAUUAUGUUUCUCUAUUGUAUAUUCAUGGAAAUGAAUGAGAUGCUUUUUCGAAAAAAAUAAAUUAUCAUCGACUAUAAUACUAUUAAAUGAUGAUUAUAUUCUUAAGUUAUGCAUUACAUCCUACUUAUGUUUAUAUUCCCUAGAUUAAGAUGAGAGAAAUCUAUAUAGACAUGAUAUAUUUAAUGUAGAUAAAGUCAGAUCCUUGGUACUAGUUAUACCUAUUCAAAUUUUGCGUUGCUAAUUUUUUCGAAAUUAUAGUUCCCUGACAAACAACAAAAAUUCCUUUUAUAAUCUUUCUUUUUCUUUUUUUUUUUGGUAGAAUAGAGCAGUUAUUUGGUUAGCUUUGAGUUGCGUUUUAUUUAAUUUCUCUUUGAAAGUUCUCUUUUGAUAUAGACAAGGGCAUGGCAUAAGCAAAUGCAAAAAGAAAAAUAUAAGAACACAAUAGAUUAUUUAAUGAAAUUGGUCUACAAGUUGAGCUAAAAAGUAAUAAAGAUUUCCGCUUAUUUCUUUAUCUACAAAUGAGAGACAUCGACGUUUUAGACCAUUAUUAGAAUUGUCUUUUUUUUUUCCUUACAUAGCAAUGAUUUUUUUUUUCUAUAUUUAACUCCAUCCCCAAUUUUGGAGUAAUCUACUAAUAUUGGAGUGAAUAAUUGAUGAUGAUGCUCUGAAAAAAGAACAUGCACCUUUGAAAGAAUAAGGACAUUAACAAUAGUAAUUCUGAAGAUUACCACCAAUAUCAAUUAUCUCCAUACUUUUAAACUACUUUUGCAUAAUAGGCAGACCUAAAAGCUAGUUUCAGACAGUUCGCAUCAAUUGUAUUUUGCUUGUUUUUGAUACUUUUUCUUCGAGUCUUGAUAUGAAUUUACGUCAUUUUAAAAUUUAUAGAGAUAUAAAUAUUGUGAAAGCUUUUAAAAUCUUUCAAGUUAAAUUAUAAAUUCCACAAAAUGCACGAUAAAUCAAAAGUCAAAAGGUAAAAGAUUUCUGUCGCGAUGUACUCAUUCUUAAUCAAUUUGAUUGAUGAUAAAGGAUUGAUGAAAUUGGGGGAGAGAGUGGGCAGAUGCCGAGUCCACUAUGUGGAGCAGCAUCAUAAUAAAGCCAUUCCCCACACUGUCCCUACGCCCAAGACCCCUAUAUCACCCCUACGAGGCUACGACUAGCCAUGUUCUCAUUAUAUGUCGGAUUCUUUCCCCUAUUUAUUUAUUGUUGAUAUUUAUUGCUUCCGUGAGCUCUAUGUUAUUUCUUAUUUGUUCACCAGCCAAAAAAUUGCAAAAGAAAAAGAAAAAAUCUUUGCAACCUUAAGGGUUGUAUAUUUCGCGAAAAGUUUGCAAUUGAAAAUUUCAUUUCCUUCAUUUUUUUAACAUUUAGACCACUUAAAACAAAUCAACAAUUUUUUUUUUUAUAAAUAAUGAAAAACUUGUGUUCAAACCCACGAAAAUACUCCCUUUUGAAAGUGACAUGCCGUUUUUCAACAUAUGACUAUGUUGAAUUAGUCGAGCCCUACAAUAAUUUCAAGAAGAACAUAAAGAAGUGUUUAGUAAAACAUUGUUUUUUUCAUUUAUAUAUUGGAUCUCCACACAAGAAAAUGACACAUUUGAAAAAAAAAAUUACUAAAAAUGCUCAUGGCUUUUGGCAUACUCAAACAUAAAUAUCUUUUUAAGGUAACAGCGUAGAAGUUUGUCUCAUCUAUAAUAUAGAUAUAAUUUCUUCGUGGGAACCAGUUCAGGCCAAAAACCUCCUCUAGAGUUUCUUUAAUGAACAAUGUAGAUGAAUAAAUUUUUCUCUACAAUGCAUCUACAUAAGCUUGGUCCAGUGUAUUAAUUUUAAAAAUAUUUAAUGUCUACUGUUAUUGAUAUUAGAAAUUAUAACAAUUUAAAUAGAAUAUGAGAGGAUGAUUCACCGAGACAUAGAGAUAAAUAAAGAAUAUUUGAUUCAUGUAAGGCAAUUAAAAAAUAAGAUCAGCAUUAGGAGGGGAUGGACUUAUUUAUCACGUUGAUAUUUUUAUUGAGAUAUUACGUAUCGACAAAUAUUUAAUAAUUUUUAAUGGAAGAAAACUUUCAAUAAACUAGACGAGGCUAGGGCCUAAUCCUCAAAUUUAAUGGAAAAAUUUGGUUGUUAGGUUGUCUCAUUUUGGGAAUUUACGAACUGGUGCAUAGAUCUGUUCAAAAAAAAAAAAAAAGAACUGGUGCAUAGAUUUUUUUUUUUUUCCCCUUUCUAGGGUUUCCUCUGCUUUUUCAUUAGUCCUUAGUCUGUUUUCUUAAAAGAGAGUAGAUGGACAGAAAGAAUAUGCAGGUAGAACCUGCACUAGUAACAUGAAGUAAUUAAUUUACUCAGAAAAGUAGAGCUAGGGCUAGCGUGUGUUUAUGGGUACAUUUUAGAUCAGUUGUCACGAAGAGGUUGACGAGGGUUUAUAUCGAUCUGACAGACUCCAGUUACCCGAGAACAAAUUUUUCUAAAUUCUCCUUUUUCUGAUAGUGCGAGUGAGUAAUAAUUUGAUUUUCCUUUCUUUUUUAAUUAAAGUUUGUGUGGUGGGGGUGUGUGCAAUCAUCUGUACAGCUCUACACGUACCCAUACUGAUCAUUAUCGCAUGCAAACAAUUUUGGCAUUAUGUAUAAAAACCCCGAAAUUCCGCAGGUUAGAGGAAACUACUGCAAUUGGUUCUUUUCUUUUUUUAAAUAAAGAAAUGGAUUUUAUUUUCGGCACCUAUCUUCAAAGCAAGCAUUCUCUCAGUCUAAAACAAUCUGAUGACGCUGCUUCGUCAGGGGACAGAUUCAGAGAAUGCUGUGAACCUAAUUUUUCAAGAAUAGAAUUUGUAUGAAGUUGGAAGGGCAAAUAAAAAAAAAUCCUAAAUUAUGUAUAUAUAUAUUUUUAUAUUACAAAAAACUCUAAACUUAUCAAUCAUGACAAAAAUAUUCCAAAUUUUCUUUCGUGUCAUGAUAAAAUCCAAACUUAUAUAAUUAUGAAUAUAAAAUUCAGAAUUUUUAUAGAUUUUUAAUAACACAAAAAAACUUCGGAAUAUUUAUGUCAUUGCGAAUAUAGUUUAGGGUUUUUCUUAUGGUAUUAAUCUAAAUUUGAGUAAUGCCUAUGAGUAUUUAUCUUACUUUAUCUUGUUAUUAUAUACUUAAAGAAAGAAAAGUACCCGAAAAGCAUCAAUCGAUUUUUUGGCAACUGUGCUAGUACUGUAAAAACUUUUAGCCCUUAAAUUUUUGUGUUGGCAAGUUUGAUUUCAUGUAUCCUGUCAUCAGUGUUUAUGGAUCAUAGUGGUGUUUGUUUUAUAUUAUCUUUUAUCAUAAAAUACUCAGUUUCUCAGAGCUCUAUGUAGAUUGCCUUAGAACUAUGCCUGUUUGGAUUAAUCUGCUUAAAAGAGGCAAGUUUUUAUUUUUCAAAAGAAUUUGGAAAUGGAGGUAAAUUAAAAUUUAAAAUUUAUGAAUUACUUCCCUUUGAACAUAUAUUAGAUUAAUAUUGCAUAAAUAAAUUACUUCGUAGGAAAGUUAUCUUUCCUAUUCAGAUUUUGUUUCUCAAUAUAAUAUUUUAUAUCUGAAUAUUAUGUCGUGUAUUUAGAAUUCAUUUAUCAGCACGUUAUUUAAUACUUUUAAUUAUUUAAUACUGAUUUUAGGUUGAUAUUACCUCCAAUGAGAAUAUUAUUGUUAUGAAAGCAUUUAUAAUUAUCAAAGCAAAUAUCAAAGUAUAAAGAGCUGGCUAAUUGUUUUGGUCUACGCGAAAACUAAAUUGUUUUUAAGAAAGUCUUAUCAAAUGAAUACUUUACCUUUUUCCUUUUCUUUUUCUUCGUCGCCCAUCCUUUCCUUCCGACUCAACGCUGAGAACCUGAUAAAAUGAUCUACGUCACCGCACGCGAUGGAAGAUCUACACGUAAUCAAACACCACAUCCGACUGAAAAUUGCACUGAUCUAUGAAAGAAACGAUCUGUAUUACUAAGGAACCGCUAGUAAAUGCAGGGUCAAGGUUGGGGUUUUUCUCUCUACGCCUCUUCUCUCUAGGGUUACCUAGGGUUCGUCUCUGUGGAAGAUAGUACGCGAAUCCAUCAAGAAUAAAAGCAGGGAGAAAAGUGAGAGAGAGAGAGACGUCACUGGCAUGCUGUGAAACGGGUAUAAUUGGUAGAGGGACAGGAAGCUAUAGCUACUUCAACUCUUCUAUCAAUAAGCAAGAAGCUUUCUUUCUGAUCGAACUUUACGUCAUUUCCAUCAACAGUUUUCAUGAAAUCCAAUAAAGUUGAAGCUCCAAAAAGAAAUUUAGAAUAAUAAUAAUAAUAAUAAUAAUAAUAAUAAUAAUUAUAAUAAAGUUGGGUUCUGCGACUUCUUCUUUAUGACCCCCCCCCAUCAUGUCAAUCCCGCUCUUUAGUGGUACUUUUGCAUGGUUAAACUGGAUUACUUUAAUCUUUAGUUCAUCUGUUGUCAAUUUGUAAAGCUAAUCCACUUUUCUCAAUGGCGUCAGUUCUAGUUUGAAUAUGCGACGUAUAUGCAACAGUGGGUUUGGCCUCUUUUAUCUCAAAAAGAGGAAAACUUAGGCGGAUAAGGGUCCAUCCAAAAGGUGAUCUCUAAGUAAUAAUUAGUAUAAUGAUGAGUGUUCGUAGCAUAAUUAAACAGGGUUCGCAUCAAGCAACUUUAGUGAUUACAACGCUCCAAGUGUCCACCCUGGACUGGGGACAAAUGAAAAAGUAUAUUACAAAGAUAGAAGACUUGACAUCGUUAUAUAUAUAGAGAUGUGAUGUUAAUCUAAAUAUUGAGAGGCUUAUAAAUAUUUGUCAAACCUGAUAUGUCUGGCAUUGUUCUAUGUCCGAAUGACUGAUGAAAAGAACGAGGCCGGUAGUGGCAAUGGAAGAAUCUGCUAGGAAGGGUUGAUCAUGGGCAUCGACAUCAACAUCGACAUCAUAGAAAUAUCUAUAGUGAAAGAUCUUUCUUGCCUUUUGAAUUAUCUCAUCUCCCCUUUGCCUUGUUAAAAUGCCAUAGUUGCCAAAUUUAAACUUGCUAUGAGGAGUAUACGUAAUAUACUUGAGCUCACCCACUCGUGCAUAGAUUGAGCCUUACGCAAAAUACAUUGGGAUGUAACCACAUCAAAUUGAUAACUAGAUAUCAAAAGUUGAUAGGAUACAUACGCAUCCAUUCAUCGAUACAUUACUUAUAAACUAAGUAAUUGAGAAUACUUUGAGGAAGAAAAGGAGGAUUUCAAUCCCUUAAAAGUAGGAGGCUCUAUCUGCUUUAUAACACGGUUAAGCAUAUGUUACGUGCGUGUAUAAGAAUGGAUAAAUAUGUAAAAAUUAGAUAAACAAAGCUAAUGAGAGUCACUUUACAAAAAGAACUGGAUCGAUUAUUUCGUUAGUGGGGGAAGUGGUCGGUGGAUGAAAACUACAUGGGAUAACUUAUUGGGAUCCUUAAACUUGUUCGUUAACUUUUCUUAUUAUUUUAUGGAAGAAUAGUUUUGGAAAGUGUCAAAAGGGAAACAAAAUGGGCAUUUUGAAUUAAUGUAUAACAAUGUUGAGCUCCGCAUUAUGCACUUGUGCGAACAUGGAUGAGUUAUGUACAAAGAGAAUGAACUUAUUUUGUUAGAGUGAAUAUCUAAUGAGUAAUUGUAGCAUAUUCUAGCAUGCAAAAAAAUAAGGUUAUAGCAAGAAAAACCUAAAAUUGAUACACUUGCGACAAAUUUACUUUAAAGUAAUUUAAAAAAAAAAAAACUCAAACUGGUACACUAAUGACAAUUUUAUUAAGUUAUUGAGGUGGAUGACAUGUGAUAGUUGAUGAGUAUAUUAGUUUGGAGUUUUACUAUCCAUUUGUUAUAGGUGUAUUAAUUUGAGGUUUUACCAUCCAUUUAUCAUAGAUAUACUAGUUUGUAUUUUUUGUAGCAUUAAUCAAAUUUAAUGGAAAUCAACGGAGAUAAAUUUGUUACCAAUGUAUCAAUUUGGAUUUUUUUAUGGUAAAAAAAUCAGUUUGGGAUAAAUUUGUUAUAUGUGUAUUAAUUUAAGAUUUUUAGUAAUCAUAAAAUUAAUUUGAGGUAAAUUUAUGAUAGAUGUUUUGGCUAUUUUUUUUCCUCUCUCGGCACCCUUCCACUAGUUAUGGCUUUGUUGUCAUUUUUAGCGUAAGCUCAGUGCCGGGCCCCCUUUUGUAUAGUUUGGUUAAAACUCAAUAUAUUCUUACUUUAUCAAAAAAAAAAAAACAAAGAAAAAGCAUUUAACCAAGCAACUUUAUACACUAUUGUUUUGAGAAAGUUGAUAUGCUAGAGAAAACCGCUUUUUUAGAAUUAUCUUAACACUGACAGUGCAUGUUCUAUCUUUCCUUCUUUAAUAGUGUGGAUGUAAUAAUUAUCGGUAAUUAUCAAACACGUAUGAAUUAGGAGGUUACUUAGUGAAUAUAGAGAACAGUAACUAGCUUUGAUUUUUGUAUAUUUUGAUGCAAGCAUGAUAGUCGAACAUAUGAAGAACAAGACAAAGGGUUUUUUUUUUUUUUUUCACACACACACACACACACACAUAUAUAUAUAUAUAUUUAUCAUAAUAAGUUUUUUUGUAAGUAAAGCUUAUUAAUGCUAUGUACUGCUUGGACCCUUGGUGUUUGGUUACAUGAUAACCUUACUAGGGAACUUCGUUCUCAUGUUGGGGCCAUUCCACUUGUCUGGUAAUCCAAGUAGGUGAACGAGACUGUAUUUUUUAUUUUAACAUGUUAGGAUCCGUAUGCCCAACAUCUCCCAAGUCACCCCUAAGUUCCCCUCUGUAUUUUUGUCUUCUGCGAGGAGGAGGGAAUACCUUUUAUGUGUUUUACAUUCCAGAGUUCUCGAGGUCUAGAAUGAAUCGGGAUAAAGUCUUUUAGGGACUUACUCAUGUCCAAUUUAGAUAUAUUUAUCAUAAUAAAUUUUUUCCAAAGUAAAGCACAUCAAUGAUAGUCCAUGAAAGGUACAGAUGAAAUCGAAGGCCGAAAGGAAAUACAAAGUGGUCGGAGCUUUAACGACUAUUCAUAAUAAGUAGUACUAUCGCCCGUUCGACGCGCCCAAGCGGAGCGACCAUGACGAGAACUUUGAGAACAGGCUUUCUGCCAACCGUAGCACUUCCGAAGUGCUAUGCAAGAAUCACUUCCGAAGUGCGUAGAACGCCUGGCUCUAUUGUUGUUGGGCGAUAGAGUUGCCAGCAAAAGCGCACUGCCUUUAGCUUGAAGAGUCGAGCCUGCUUGGCUCUUGCGUUUGAUGGAGACGAGCAAACUCAGUGAAAGCGAGACUAACGCGGUUCUGGACUCGUCCAGAGUCUGCAACGUAAGGUGUCUGUCUUCGCAAGAAAGCCCCCAACCCACUUUGUCUACAUCGCUCGAGAAGAAUACACCGACUUGUUUGAUUCGCCGCACCAUCCAGACAAGUUACGAAAUCCCUCCAUUUAUGGUUGCAUUUGGCGUGAAGCUUUGUAUAAUGGAACGAUCGUGACCGCGUUAGAGAAGAUGAGCCACCUUCGGGCCACGGCUCGAGUCCUCAGAUGAGAUUACUCCAUACAUCCCAGAGAUUAGAGCAUCAACCGAUCAAACCCUUUUUCGGCGUUCCCAGGAAUGUGGCAGACAACUGUCAUGUUAGGACGAUGGUCAACCGUGAUUAAACAAGGCGUGGCAAGAAAAGUGGAAAAUAUUACCUGAUAAGCGAAACUAGAAGAUUCGAUUAAAGUCACUAACAGUAGCAAGCGAAUCACUUAAAGUAAAAAAGAUGGAUUUGGAACGAUCCCUCUUUGCCAGGCUGCAUUAUUCAAUCACGGUAGGUAGGAGAUGGUUAUCGAAUUAGAAAACCAGUUGGAGCGUAAGUUUAGAGAAAAAUGGUGAAUGAUUGGAGGACGAAAUUGAAAGGGACAGCGAGAUUAAAAGUCAGAAAAACUAUUAGCUUUUGUCAGACCGAUCUUCGGUUGAUUAUCAUUACAUUAUGAUGAUGAUGGUGAUGAUAAAUUGCUGCAAAGCUACAUGAUGUCAUUGACAGUUUGAAAAGCAAUAUGGAGGGCUGUUCAUUUGUGCUUUCUUUUGGGUUCAAGGAGGCAAUUACUUCUUUUAUUGGUGGGGUGGGAACAUGAUGGUGAUCAUUACAACAUGCAACUUCUAGGGUUUGUUUCCUUGUUUUGUAUUUUUUUUUUUUUUUGAAAGUGGGGGGGCCACUCCUUUUUUGAGGGUAGUUCCAUUUGACUAAUCUAAUACCCUUAAUUAUAAUGAUAAGAGCUUUCUCAUGUAGUAAAGGGUUAAUCACCCAGGUGGGGGUGGGAUUGUCAUGUGUAAAUUAGAUAGUUACCCUUUACGUAAUAUAACUUCGAAGACACUUUCUAAGCAAACGAUAAUGAGAAUUUUGUAGUUUUCAAAGCACCAAUUAUUCUUGUAUUAUACACGAUCAAUGCUUCAGAUUAGAUUAUUCAAAAUAAGGUAAAUGUGUUGGCGGCACUCCUUGGCAGGUUCCAGUAGCAAUUUAGAGAUGUUGAGAAACUAAUCCAAACUUCUCUCUUCGUGUCUUACUUGAAGAAGUGUUGUCAUUUUGAGAAGAUAUAUGAUCAUCAACUUGAGUUAAAAUGAUUGAAUGACCAACAGAAGAUAAAAACAA
RNAcentral lists this long non-coding RNA (34302 nucleotides) under Eucalyptus grandis. RNAcentral's name for it is "long non-coding RNA (EGRA_LNC002337)". Lineage: Eukaryota; Viridiplantae; Streptophyta; Magnoliopsida; Myrtales; Myrtaceae. The record is from RNAcentral.